RNAcentral lists this ribosomal RNA (257 nucleotides) under uncultured bacterium. Its description in RNAcentral is "partial 16S ribosomal RNA". It matches the Rfam family "Bacterial small subunit ribosomal RNA", at positions 524 to 776 of the family's 1533-position model. The record is from RNAcentral.
UACGUAGGGGGGCGAGCGUUGUCCGAAGUUACUGGGCGUAAAGCGCGCGUAGGCGGCUCUUUAAGUCUGGUGUGAAAGGUUCAGGGCUCAACCCGAACAGUGCACUGGAUACUGGCAAGCUAGAGUACGGUAGAGGAUGGUGGAAUUCCUGGUGUAGCGGUGAAAUGCGCAGAUAUCAGGAGGAACACCGAGUCGGAAGGCGGAUCUCUGGGCCGAUAACUGACGCUGAGGACGACGAAGCGUGGGGAGCGAACAGG